This 2220-nucleotide long non-coding RNA is filed under the name Homo sapiens (human). RNAcentral describes it as "HSALNT0074021". Lineage: Eukaryota; Metazoa; Chordata; Mammalia; Primates; Hominidae. The record is from RNAcentral.
CCGGAAAUAAUUUUUUUACCAUAUUAUCUAGGAGAGAGUAGGACCUAACCACAUUUUUAUAACUACUAUUGUGCAUCCGAGAGUGCUGACAUUAUUAAAUUCAUUAUCAAAUCGAGCAAGUCAUCAGCCAUGAACAGAACUGAGUGUGAACAGGGCUUGGAGGAAAUAAGUGUCUCUACCUCUACAUCCUCCCACCUUACAAUUUCCUAUUCAUGCUUUCCAUCCCCCUGACUCCCAUCAUUGGCCAAAUCCAUUCAGAAGAGGUUAGAUGAGGAAACUAAGGUUCAGAGAGGUAAAUGAAUUUGCCCAGUAUCACCCAGCUAAUGAAUGUCAGUUCUGAUAUUUGAAUCCCACAGACCGACUCCAAAUACCAUGAUCUCAUUUAUUACUUUACAUGUACAACUGAUGGCUAUGCCAAAUAUGAAUUGUUAUAAUUUUUAAUAAAAGUUAAUGAAGGCUAAAGAUGUGUAUUUUUAUCACAUAUUCUACUAUUGAAAAAAUUGCUUAUCUUAUGGCAGGCAAUCAAUUUUAUUUUCAAGCAUUUUUUUUUUAAAUCUGGAUAACAGCCUCUCCCUUUGAAAUCUAAAGAUCAAAUAAAUAUCUCAAUAUAUCCCUUAACUUGAGUGGGGCUGGAAGCCCCAGGGGAAAAUCCCUGAUCUAGCCCUUUCUCUCUAUUAAGUGGACAACAUCCUUAAGUAUACUAACACCCUUUGCCCUCAAAGGGGGGCAAGAGGAAUGAGGAUCCCAAAUGAUGCCUCCUUGGCCUGAUUCUUGUGCUUAUCUCUGAGUGGUAGUCCCAGCGAGGGCCUCAGCUCUGUCUCUGACACAACCUGUGGUCUCGGGGCCCUUCUGUUCCUCAUCCACUCCUGAACAAACUGUCCUCCCCACAAACCCCAAGACCAGCCCAGGACAGGUCUUGUGGAAACAGUCUGGUAACCUCACAGGGCUCUGCAGCCGUUUCAAGGAGGUUCUUUAGCACCCUCUGGUGGCUACUGCCAGAAAUACCAUGUUCAAAUUGAAGAGGGCAGUGAGGGCGGUGACAUUAACGUUGGACCGGAUUCCCUGCUUCCUUUUCCAUUCAGUCAGACCCUGAAGAGUGUCUCCCAGGGAUUGCGGACAAGGAAAUCAGGUGAUUCUUUUCUAUCGGUGCCCAGACUCGGGACUCCACGGUCUUCACUCUUAAAGUACGGCCUCCCAACCAGCAACAUUGGAGAAUCGGAAUCAGAACCUACAUUUCAACAAGAAACAGUGAUUUAUAUGCAACUAACACUGAGAAGCUUUUUUCCCUUAUAUUUUGUCUUUUACAUUUCUCCCUACCUCCUCACUGCCAAAAGACAAUAUACAAUCAAUUUUCACAGGAGCAACUUCAAUGAAUUCCGGUUUGGAAAUAUCCAGCAGAUCUUUUUUUUUUUUUUUUUAAUGAAAGCAUCUCCCCACAUUCGCCCACCUAAGAUAACUCAGAGGCAGAUGCACUUUUCACUGAAGUUAAUGAGAAUCUGAAAACUGCAAUUGCAAUGAGGUUGUAAACUGGGGUUAGCAGGAUUCAUGUUGCCGCAAUUCAUCUAACCUAGAUUUAAGUCUCUGGAGUUAUUAUUUUUUCCCUCUUUGUUAAAAGCAAACAUUUUUACAACCUCCUUAUUUGUAUACUGUUUUUAUUAUCCCACUACCCUUAUGAAAUUAAUGAAAGAGAGACUUUUUUCUAAGUACUUCUUACGGAGACUCUUGAAUGUGGACCUGCUGAUUCCUCAGGGAGCCCACCCAGCCACUUGGGCCAUGUCCCCCCGACUCGUGGUGCACAUGUGAAAGGCAGGUAGGGCAGUUCCACUUUCUACAAAGGCCUGUGAUUCCUGGAAACUCUGGCCAAUUCUAAAUCCCACUGACUGGAAGGGAACUUGAAGUCUCCUCCAAGUCUCUUUUUUCACAAAGUAAAGAACGAAGGUAUUUUCCUAGCAAAAGCUAAAAUUCCAAGGAAGAUAAAAAUUGAGGAAGUAUCCCAACUCUUUGUUGGCACCCUCCAUUGUCCACGUGCUCUGGCUUUGCACCCCGGAGUUUCCUCAAAACAGAACUGCAACCUCAGUGUGGACCUGGGACUAGUAAGAUCAUCCAGCCCAUUUAAUGACUGGCAAGACAAGGAGAAUGAUGUCUAGCAGGAUCCCACUUCAUCCUGUCCAUUUCUGAGACAGAAAUACUAAAAGGAAGUGAGUCUAGGAGAAACCUGGU